AGAGUUUGAUCCUGGCUCAGAACGAACGCUGGCGGCAGGCUUAACACAUGCAAGUCGAACGCCCCGCAAGGGGAGUGGCAGACGGGUGAGUAACGCGUGGGAACGUGCCCUUCGCUUCGGAAUAGCCCCGGGAAACUGGGAGUAAUACCGAAUACGCCGUAUUGGGAAAGAUUUAUCGGCGAAGGAUCGGCCCGCGUUAGAUUAGCUAGUUGGCGGUGUAAUGGACCACCAAGGCUACGAUCUAUAGCUGGUCUGAGAGGAUGAUCAGCCACGCUGGGACUGAGACACGGCCCAGACUCCUACGGGAGGCAGCAGUGGGGAAUCUUGGACAAUGGGCGGAAGCCUGAUCCAGCAAUACCGCGUGUGUGAAGAAGGCCUGAGGGUUGUAAAGCACUUUCAACGGGGAGGAAAAAGUAAAGGCGAAUACCCUUUAUAUUGACAUUACCCGUACAAGAAGCACCGGCUAACUCCGUGCCAGCAGCCGCGGUAAUACGGAGGGUGCGAGCGUUAAUCGGAAUUACUGGGCGUAAAGCGUGCGUAGGCGGCCUGCCAAGCCAGGUGUGAAAGCCCCGGGCUCAACCUGGGAACGGCACUUGGAACUGGUAGGCUAGAGUUGGGUAGAGGGGAGCGGAAUUCCGGGUGUAGCGGUGAAAUGCGUAGAUAUCCGGAGGAACACCAGUGGCGAAGGCGGCUCCCUGGACCCAAACUGACGCUGAGGCACGAAAGCGUGGGUAGCAAACAGGAUUAGAUACCCUGGUAGUCCACGCCGUAAACGAUGUCGACUAGCCGUUGGGCCCCCUUGGGGGCUUAGGGGCGCAGCUAACGCAUUAAGUCGACCGCCUGGGGAGUACGGCCGCAAGGUUAAAACUCAAAUGAAUUGACGGGGGCCCGCACAAGCGGUGGAGCAUGUGGUUUAAUUCGAUGCAACGCGAAGAACCUUACCGCCCCUUGACAUGUACUGGAAUGCCCGCAGAGACGUGGGCAGCCGCAAGGCCAGUACACAGGUGUUGCAUGGCUGUCGUCAGCUCGUGUCGUGAGAUGUUGGGUUAAGUCCCGCAACGAGCGCAACCCUCGCCAUUAGUUGCCAUCAUUAAGUUGGGCACUCUAGUGGGACUGCCGGUGAUAAGCCGGAGGAAGGUGAGGAUGACGUCAAGUCAUCAUGGCCCUUACGGGCUGGGCUACACACGUGCUACAAUGGCGGUGACAGUGGGCAGCGAGGCAGUAAUGCCAAGCUAAUCUCAAAAAGCCGUCUCAGUUCGGAUUGAGGUCUGCAACUCGACCUCAUGAAGUCGGAAUCGCUAGUAAUCGCGCAUCAGCACGGCGCGGUGAAUACGUUCCCGGGCCUUGUACACACCGCCCGUCACACCAUGGGAGUUGGUCUUACCCUAAGACGGUGCGCUAACCAGCAAUGGAGGCAGCCGGCCACGGUAAGGUCAGCGACUGGGGUGAAGUCGUAACAAGGUAGCCGUA
This 1470-nucleotide ribosomal RNA is filed under the name uncultured bacterium. Its description in RNAcentral is "bacterial SSU rRNA". It matches the Rfam family "Bacterial small subunit ribosomal RNA". The record is from RNAcentral.